Molecule: ribosomal RNA, 576 nt
Filed under: Triticum aestivum (bread wheat)
Lineage: Eukaryota; Viridiplantae; Streptophyta; Magnoliopsida; Poales; Poaceae
Description: partial small subunit ribosomal RNA
Source: RNAcentral
AUGGAGUUUUCCACUGUUAACGGCGGCACUGGCUACCAUGUAAAGCUCAGACGUCUGCUUGGCCAGGCAGACAACGAUCUCGAGGUUGACAUUCUCGCUGGUGAAGCUCUCGUCGGCAACACCAUACGGAGAACACAUCGCCCAGGCCGGACCGGAAGUCGACCUGGCAUCAUAAUGGAUAGAGAUGGAACCAUUGAGAUGUUUUCUCUCGUCGGUGAUCACACCCGUAAUGGCUCGUUUCAACUCUAUCACACCCGCCAGCAAACGAACAGUGAAUAUUUCAAGGAAUGGCGGCUGGAGAAUGUUAUACCGUUGCCCGACGGGUACGACUAUUUCGCCGCAGGCGCGGCCGAGGGAUUCUUAUUCCUAGGAGCCACUACAGAAGAUCAGUUCGACAUCGAUCAAGGCUCCUCGGAGCCGUAUUGGAGGACCGGUUGGGAAGUAGAUUAUUUCUCGCUCGAGGUCAGGACUUCUCAACUCGCCAAGGUUUGUAGGAGCAAGAGGCAAUUCUUCCAUGGUGAGCAUGCUCUCUGGUACUUUGGCUAUCCACCGUCCUUGUCCAACCCGUGUGUGUGA